This 468-nucleotide ribosomal RNA is filed under the name uncultured bacterium. Its description in RNAcentral is "partial 16S ribosomal RNA". It matches the Rfam family "Bacterial small subunit ribosomal RNA", at positions 28 to 507 of the family's 1533-position model. The record is from RNAcentral.
GACGAACGCUGGCGGCGUGCUUAACACAUGCAAGUCGAACGGAAAGGCCCUUCUUUUGUGGGGUUCUCGAGUGGCGAACGGGUGAGUAACACGUGAGUAACCUGCCCUUGACUUUGGGAUAACUUCAGGAAACUGGGUCUAAUACCGGAUAGGAGCUCCUGCUGCAUGGUGUGGUGGGGAGAAUUUCGGCGUUUGGGGAUGGACUCGCGGCUUAUCAUCUUGUUGGUGGGGUAGUGGCUCACCAAGGCUUUGACGGGUAGCCGGCCUGGGCGGGUGAACGGCCACAUUGGGACUGAGAGACGGCCCAGACUCCUACGGGAGGCAGCAGUGGGGAAUAUUGCACAAUGGGCGGAAGCCUGAUGCAGCAACGCCGCGUGCGGGAUGACGGCCUUCGGGUUGUAAACCGCUUUCGCCUGUGACGAAGCGUGAGUGACGGUAACGGGUAAAGAAGCACCGGCUAACUACGUG